Molecule: ribosomal RNA, 2523 nt
Filed under: Shigella sonnei
Lineage: Bacteria; Pseudomonadati; Pseudomonadota; Gammaproteobacteria; Enterobacterales; Enterobacteriaceae
Description: partial 23S ribosomal RNA
Rfam family: Bacterial large subunit ribosomal RNA
Source: RNAcentral
CUGUCUGAAUAUGGGGGGCCCAUCCUCCAAGGCUAAAUACUCCUGACUGACCGAUAGUGAACCAGUACCGUGAGGGAAAGGCGAAAAGAACCCCGGCGAGGGGAGUGAAAAAGAACCUGAAACCGUGUACGUACAAGCAGUGGGAGCACGCUUAGGCGUGUGACUGCGUACCUUUUGUAUAAUGGGUCAGCGACUUAUAUUCUGUAGCAAGGUUAACCGAAUAGGGGAGCCGAAGGGAAACCGAGUCUUAACUGGGCGUUAAGUUGCAGGGUAUAGACCCGAAACCCGGUGAUCUAGCCAUGGGCAGGUUGAAGGUUGGGUAACACUAACUGGAGGACCGAACCGACUAAUGUUGAAAAAUUAGCGGAUGACUUGUGGCUGGGGGUGAAAGGCCAAUCAAACCGGGAGAUAGCUGGUUCUCCCCGAAAGCUAUUUAGGUAGCGCCUCGUGAAUUCAUCUCCGGGGGUAGAGCACUGUUUCGGCAAGGGGGUCAUCCCGACUUACCAACCCGAUGCAAACUGCGAAUACCGGAGAAUGUUAUCACGGGAGACACACGGCGGGUGCUAACGUCCGUCGUGAAGAGGGAAACAACCCAGACCGCCAGCUAAGGUCCCAAAGUCAUGGUUAAGUGGGAAACGAUGUGGGAAGGCCCAGACAGCCAGGAUGUUGGCUUAGAAGCAGCCAUCAUUUAAAGAAAGCGUAAUAGCUCACUGGUCGAGUCGGCCUGCGCGGAAGAUGUAACGGGGCUAAACCAUGCACCGAAGCUGCGGCAGCGACGCUUAUGCGUUGUUGGGUAGGGGAGCGUUCUGUAAGCCUGCGAAGGUGUGCUGUGAGGCAUGCUGGAGGUAUCAGAAGUGCGAAUGCUGACAUAAGUAACGAUAAAGCGGGUGAAAAGCCCGCUCGCCGGAAGACCAAGGGUUCCUGUCCAACGUUAAUCGGGGCAGGGUGAGUCGACCCCUAAGGCGAGGCCGAAAGGCGUAGUCGAUGGGAAACAGGUUAAUAUUCCUGUACUUGGUGUUACUGCGAAGGGGGGACGGAGAAGGCUAUGUUGGCCGGGCGACGGUUGUCCCGGUUUAAGCGUGUAGGCUGGUUUUCCAGGCAAAUCCGGAAAAUCAAGGCUGAGGCGUGAUGACGAGGCACUACGGUGCUGAAGCAACAAAUGCCCUGCUUCCAGGAAAAGCCUCUAAGCAUCAGGUAACAUCAAAUCGUACCCCAAACCGACACAGGUGGUCAGGUAGAGAAUACCAAGGCGCUUGAGAGAACUCGGGUGAAGGAACUAGGCAAAAUGGUGCCGUAACUUCGGGAGAAGGCACGCUGAUAUGUAGGUGAAGUCCCUUGCGGAUGGAGCUGAAAUCAGUCGAAGAUACCAGCUGGCUGCAACUGUUUAUUAAAAACACAGCACUGUGCAAACACGAAAGUGGACGUAUACGGUGUGACGCCUGCCCGGUGCCGGAAGGUUAAUUGAUGGGGUCAGCGCAAGCGAAGCUCUUGAUCGAAGCCCCGGUAAACGGCGGCCGUAACUAUAACGGUCCUAAGGUAGCGAAAUUCCUUGUCGGGUAAGUUCCGACCUGCACGAAUGGCGUAAUGAUGGCCAGGCUGUCUCCACCCGAGACUCAGUGAAAUUGAACUCGCUGUGAAGAUGCAGUGUACCCGCGGCAAGACGGAAAGACCCCGUGAACCUUUACUAUAGCUUGACACUGAACAUUGAGCCUUGAUGUGUAGGAUAGGUGGGAGGCUUUGAAGUGUGGACGCCAGUCUGCAUGGAGCCGGCCUUGAAAUACCACCCUUUAAUGUUUGAUGUUCUAACGUGGACCCGUGAUCCGGGUUGCGGACAGUGUCUGGUGGGUAGUUUGACUGGGGCGGUCUCCUCCUAAAGAGUAACGGAGGAGCACGAAGGUUGGCUAAUCCUGGUCGGACAUCAGGAGGUUAGUGCAAUGGCAUAAGCCAGCUUGACUGCGAGCGUGACGGCGCGAGCAGGUGCGAAAGCAGGUCAUAGUGAUCCGGUGGUUCUGAAUGGAAGGGCCAUCGCUCAACGGAUAAAAGGUACUCCGGGGAUAACAGGCUGAUACCGCCCAAGAGUUCAUAUCGACGGCGGUGUUUGGCACCUCGAUGUCGGCUCAUCACAUCCUGGGGCUGAAGUAGGUCCCAAGGGUAUGGCUGUUCGCCAUUUAAAGUGGUACGCGAGCUGGGUUUAGAACGUCGUGAGACAGUUCGGUCCCUAUCUGCCGUGGGCGCUGGAGAACUGAGGGGGGCUGCUCCUAGUACGAGAGGACCGGAGUGGACGCAUCACUGGUGUUCGGGUUGUCAUGCCAAUGGCACUGCCCGGUAGCUAAAUGCGGAAGAGAUAAGUGCUGAAAGCAUCUAAGCACGAAACUUGCCCCGAGAUGAGUUCUCCCUGACCCUUUAAGGGUCCUGAAGGAACGUUGAAGACGACGACGUUGAUAGGCCGGGUGUGUAAGCGCAGCGAUGCGUUGAGCUAACCGGUACUAAUGAACCGUGAGGCUUAACCUUACAACGCCGAAG